GCACUUUGAAGACACAACACUUAGCAUCAAUAAAGUUGCACACAAAGAGAGUAUGGAAUAAGAUAACUCUCACUUCUAAUACCCAUUACUUAUAGGUAGUGGUUGUUAUCCUAAAAGACAACUUCUACUCUUUGAUUUUUAUACAGGUGGCUUUAGGAUCCUUUUGGCAUCUCAUGAGCCUCGAGGAUAUCCUAUAACACAUACUAAUGACUCAUACUUAGUCUUUGGAUAUUUUCUUGUUAAUACUUUAUCCUUUUGACUUUGACUCUUGGUCCAUGACUUCGUCCUAUUGUCACGGACACAGAAAUACAGACUUGAGAUCUAACAAGAAAUUCAAGAAGAACUGACAAGAACUAAAUUAAUCAGAUGAAUACAAGAAUAACACCAGAGAGGUGAGCUAGAGCUCCAAG
Molecule: long non-coding RNA, 410 nt
Filed under: Physcomitrium patens
Lineage: Eukaryota; Viridiplantae; Streptophyta; Bryopsida; Funariales; Funariaceae
Description: long non-coding RNA (PPAT_LNC004789)
Source: RNAcentral